AGGAUUUUCCCCUUCGGGGGACAGAGUGACAGGUGGUGCAUGGUUGUCGUCAGCUCGUGUCGUGAGAUGUUGGGUUAAGUCCCGCAACGAGCGCAACCCUUGAUCUUAGUUGCCAGCAUUUAGUUGGGCACUCUAAGGUGACUGCCGGUGACAAACCGGAGGAAGGUGGGGAUGACGUCAAAUCAUCAUGCCCCUUAUGACCUGGGCUACACACGUGCUACAAUGGAUGGUACAAAGGGCUGCAAGACCGCGAGGUUUAGCCAAUCCCAUAAAACCAUUCUCAGUUCGGAUUGUAGGCUGCAACUGUCCUACAUGAAGCCGGAAUCGUUAGUAAUCGCGGAUCAGCAUGCCGCGGUGAAU
This 360-nucleotide ribosomal RNA is filed under the name Cytobacillus kochii. RNAcentral describes it as "bacterial SSU rRNA". It matches the Rfam family "Bacterial small subunit ribosomal RNA", at positions 1007 to 1367 of the family's 1533-position model. Lineage: Bacteria; Bacillati; Bacillota; Bacilli; Caryophanales; Bacillaceae. The record is from RNAcentral.